UACGGAGGGUGCGAGCGUUGUUCGGAAUUAUUGGGCGUAAAGCGCGCGUAGGCGGCUUUGUAAGUCUCACUGUGAAAGCCCGGGGCUCAACCCCGGGAGGCCAGGGGAUACUGCGGAGCUGGAGACAGGUAGAGGCUGGUAGAAUUCCGGGUGUAGCGGUGGAAUGCGUAGAGAUCCGGAGGAAUACCUGAGGCGAAGGCGGCCAGCUGGACCUGAUCUGACGCUGAGGUGCGAAAGCGUGGGGAGCGAACAGG
This 254-nucleotide non-coding RNA is filed under the name uncultured prokaryote. RNAcentral's name for it is "partial 16S ribosomal RNA". It matches the Rfam family "Bacterial small subunit ribosomal RNA", at positions 524 to 776 of the family's 1533-position model. The record is from RNAcentral. RNAcentral also lists the same sequence under 1 other name.